CCUACGGGAGGCAGCAGUGGGGGAUAUUCGACAAUGGGGGAAACCCUGAUCCAGCGACGCCGCGUGAGUGAAGAAGUAUUUCGGUAUGUAAAGCUCUGUCAGCAGGGAAGAAAGAAAUGACGGUACCUUACCAAGAAGCCCCGGCUAACUACGUGCCAGCAGCCGCGGUAAUACGUAGGGGGCAAGCGUUAUCCGGAUUUACUGGGUGGAAAGGGAGCGUAGACGGCAGUGCAAGUCUGGAGUGAAAGGCGCGGGCUCAACCCCCGGACUGCUUUGGAAACUGUACGGCUGGAGUGCAGGAGAGGUAAGUGGAAUUCCUAGUGUAGCGGUGAAAUGCGUAGAUAUUAGGAGGAACACCAGUGGCGAAGGCGGCCUGCUGGGCUCUAACUGACGCUGAGGCACGAAAGCGUGGGUAGCAAACAGGAUUAGAUACCCGGGUAGUC
Molecule: ribosomal RNA, 443 nt
Filed under: uncultured bacterium
Lineage: Bacteria
Description: partial 16S ribosomal RNA
Rfam family: Bacterial small subunit ribosomal RNA
Source: RNAcentral